This 489-nucleotide ribosomal RNA is filed under the name uncultured bacterium. RNAcentral describes it as "partial 16S ribosomal RNA". It matches the Rfam family "Bacterial small subunit ribosomal RNA", at positions 30 to 506 of the family's 1533-position model. The record is from RNAcentral.
AUUGAACGCUGGCGGCAUGCUUUACACAUGCAAGUCGGACGGCAGCACAGAGAAGCUUGCUUCUUGGGUGGCGAGUGGCGAACGGGUGAGUAACAUAUCGGAACGUACCGAGCAGUGGGGGAUAACUAAUCGAAAGAUUAGCUAAUACCGCAUAUUUUCUGAGGAAGAAAGCAGGGGACCUUUGGGCCUUGCGCUGUUUGAGCGGCCGAUAUCUGAUUAGCUAGUUGGUGGGGUAAAGGCCUACCAAGGCGACGAUCAGUAGCGGGUCUGAGAGGAUGAUCCGCCACACUGGGACUGAGACACGGCCCAGACUCCUACGGGAGGCAGCAGUGGGGAAUUUUGGACAAUGGGCGCAAGCCUGAUCCAGCCAUGCCGCGUGUCUGAAGAAGGCCUUCGGGCUGUAAAGGACUUUUGUCAGGGAAGAAAAGGGCGGGGUUAAUACCCCUGUCUGAUGACGGUACCUGAAGAAUAAGCACCGGCUAACUACGU